RNAcentral lists this long non-coding RNA (7812 nucleotides) under Malus domestica (apple). RNAcentral describes it as "long non-coding RNA (MDOM_LNC007280)". Lineage: Eukaryota; Viridiplantae; Streptophyta; Magnoliopsida; Rosales; Rosaceae. The record is from RNAcentral.
AAAUGAGAAGAAAACCUUGUUUUGAUCUUCAAUGGAUUGAAAUGUGCUUGCCUUGUCAUUGCCCAAAAUGAGAAGAAAAACUUGUGUAAUCCUCCAAGGGUAUUUCUUCUUAUUUUGUUGAGUCACACACCAUGUGUAUAAUUUGUAUGACACGUGGCAUAUGCCAUGUAUGCUCUGACACGUCAAAAUUUUAAUGCAUUGGUGAACAUUUACUUCACCGCAAUUUCGAUGUCUACAAAUGCCCCCACUUCAAGGUGCGUCGUAUACAUUUGAUUGUCACGUGUAGGAGAUGCGUUUUGAAGUCCCUUACUGUAGAUGUCGAUCCAAGGGCCAUCGAGGCUUGAUCUUGAAUUGGGCUGGAGAUUUCUUCAAGGGCCGUCGAGGCUUGAUCUUGAAUUUGGCCGGAAACUUCUUCAAGGGUCGUUGAUGCUUGAUUCUUGAAGGUUGACUCGAACACAUGGCAAGCAGGCACGAGGUGAAGGUGACGACUUGUUGCUUUGUUCAAUCUUUCUAAUUCACACCUGAGCAGUUUGGUCAACGGUAUGAUCUUCAAGAUUGAUGGGCUCUUCUUCCAGUUGGUGACUUGAUCUUUAAGGACUUGAUUCAAGGGUGGUGAAACGGCACAUGCAGCCCACAACGCCUAGCAAGUCGACCCAAGAAUUUGAGGGUCAAAACGAGUCUUCCACCCAGAGUGAUUGCAAACCUGAUGAUAUGAGAUACUUUUGAUUUUGAAGAAGUAGCGGAUGAAUCGACACGUGCUUUGUUGUGCUUGUCUCCACAUGCUUCAAUGUAUCAUUUUCCCUUGUCUUAUCUAUACUUCUGGUAGCAUGUAACAUCUUCUCGAGUUCUUCAGCUCAGACUCAUUCUGCUGAGCUGACUGUGCAGGCUGCAUUCUUCUCUGCUUGUUUCUUCAGGCAGAUGUGGCAGCUUCUUGAGUUCCUCAGCUCGGACUCCUUCUGCUGAGCUGACUGUGAAGACUGCAUUCUUCUCUGCUUGUUUCUUCUGCACGUUGUCUCCACAUGCUGCAAGGUAUCAUUUUCACUUGCCUUAUCUGUUCUCCAGGCAAAUGUGGCAUCCGAGUUUGAGUAGAGGUUCCGGCAUAUUGUUUUCUUUAUCCUUGUCUUUGUAGGUAAGAACAAGGACAAAGGAAAGGACAGAGAGAACACAUGAUAUGAGAUACUCUUGCUUUCUACCCUGGUGAUAUGAGAUACUUUUGCUUUGGUGUCAUUUGUUUGCAGAGGUACCCCAAGGAAUAAGAAACACUGAGUGACUCGAGAGGCUUCGUUGGGAAGGCAUGAAGAAAGGUUCUCAGAGAUGAAGAAAGGUUCUCGGAGAUGAAGAAAGGUUAUGUAUGUCUGCCUUGCUAUGGAGGGUGAAGGUGGACAGUUAUAGGAAAUUCUUUAGUACCUGUAGAGGUACUAUUCUUUUACUCGUGUCGGCAACCAAUGCGUGAUUGAUCAGUAUGGCUUCACGUGCUUUCUUCUUUAUCAGAAAUCUUCGACAAAUUGUCCGUAAUUUUCGUCAAGCUGAGUGUGCAUGUGACAUGUGUUGACGAGGCUGAAAAAGACUGGCGCCUCUUCGAUAUCUGGGAUUGGCGCUUUAACAAAUUGCCCGUGAUUUCCGCAAAGCUGAGUUUGCGCGUGACGGGUGCUAACGAGGCUGAAAAAGACUGGCGCCUCUUCGAUAUCUGGGAUUGGCGCUUUAACAAAUUGCCCGUGAUUUCCGCAAAGCUGAGUUUGCAUGUGACGGGUGCUAACGCGUCUGGAAAAGCAAGAUGCUUCUUCGAUUUCUGAGCUUGCCUCUUUGAUUUUUGAAUUGGCUUCUUCGAAUUCUGAGCUCGCCUCUUCGAUCUUUGAAAUCCCGUCGAGUGUUGAUCUUUAUAGAGGCACGCAGUUCGUUUCAAAGCACACUUGAAUUUUCGCUUGUAGAAACUCCCUUCUUGCACUUCUAAGAUCUUGAUUUGUCCGACCUCUUCUUUCUUCAACACCUUUGAAAAUGUCUGGACCCUUCGACCGUCGUUUUGAUUUGAACCUUGGUGAAUAGGUAGUCCCGUCUUCUCCAGAUAACAUAUGGCGCCCAUCUUUCAUAUCCCUUACUGGUCCUCUUACCGUUGGGGAUUCGGUGGUGAAGAAUGAUAUGACCGCUGCGGUAGUGGCCCGAAACCUUGUCACUCAUAGAGAUAACAGACUACUUUCCAAACGGUCUGAUGAGUUGGCUGUUAAGGAUUCUCUGGCUCUCAGUGUGCAGUGUGCAGGUUCUGUGUCUAAUAUGGCCCAACGCCUAUUUGCUCGAACCCGUCAAGUUGAAUCAUUGGAGGCUGAAGUGAUGAGUCUCAAACAGGAGAUUAGAGGGCUCAAGCAGGAGAAUAAACAGUUGCAUAAGCUCGCACAUAGCUAUGCGACAAACAUGAAGAGGAAGAUUAACCAGAUGCAGGAAUCUGAUGGUCAGAUUUUACCUGAUCAUCAGAGGUUUGUGGGUUUGUUCCAGCAGCAUUUGCCUUCGUCUUCUGGGGCUGUACCGCGUAAUGAAGCUCCAAAUAAUCAACCUUUGGCUCAUCUUCUUCCUGGAGUUCCGCCGAGUGGUGUGGCUUCAAACAGUCAACCUCCGGCGCCUCUCAUUUCUGGAGCUCUGCCGAGUGGUGAGGCGGCACCUGAUCAUCCUUGAAGAUCCCCUAUUGUAAAUUUGAUUUGAUUUUUUUUUAUUUUAAGUAUGUAUAAUGCAAAUUUAUGUAAAAUUUCCAAAAAAAAUAAAUAAAAACGGACUUUAUUUCUCUCAAUGCAUUUGUUUUGUUUUGUUUUGUUUUGUUUUGUUUUGUUUUUUUUUUGUAAAUACAUAAUAACAUAUGUAUUUAUUUAUUUAUUCUUUUGUAAUAAAAUUGACUUUCUUUAAUAAAACUUUUAUAUUUUUUUUUAUUUUGAUAUGACUGAACUCGAAAUUGAAUGUUCGAGCCGCCUACGUACCCUUCCAAAGAGGAGAUCAAGCCAUAACGCAGUUCAAAUGAGUGAUGAAUUUAACAGUGAUUUUGAUGAUGAUUUUGCCGUACACAGUUUAUGCUCUUGCGGGCCAGGAGCUUUGAUGUUGCCUUUUAUGCUCGUGCAGACCAGGAGCGUUGAUGUUGCCUUUUAUGCUCGUGCGGGUCAGGAGCGUUGAUGUUGCCUUUUAUGCUCGUGCAGACCAGGAGCUUUGUGCCAUGCAGUUUAGACUCGUGCGGGCAAUGAGCUUUGGUUCGUGCAGUUUAGGCUCGAGCGAACAAGGAGCAUUGGUUCGUGCGAACAAGGAGCAUUGGUGUUGCCUUUUAUGCUCGUGCAGACCAGGAGCUUUGUGCCAUGCAGUUUAGACUCGUGCGGGCGAGGAGAAUUUGUGAAUUUUGUCAAGCAAUUUUGGAGAGGCGUUCCUCACAAUCUUCAUAGCAAGGAGCCUUGACCGAGUGAUUGAAGAAGUCUUUGGGAAAGAAAUCGCGUAUCGUGAUGGGGAUGGACGAUCUAUGUGUCGAAAUUUCAUCAUCUUCAACACGUUCAUGUUGCUUUGAAGGUUGACAAGAGCUGCUUUGCCCCCUUUCCGAUUGGCGGACUUGUGGAGGAGAUGUAUGCUUAUUGUGCAAUUUCUUAGGAGUGACUUGAGUCCAUCCUUCAACUUUGCUUGUCUUGGAGGAUGCCCCCUGAGGUUGAGGUAAAAAUUGUGAGUCCGAAAAGCCAGAAGUGAUGGUGGUAUAGUUUGACUUCACCACAUCGUCAAGAUCUAGCUCGAUGAUUCCUUUAUGAGCCAGCUUCAUGAUGAGAUCUUUCAGCACGAAGCACUUUUCUGUCGGAUGACUGAUGAAGCGGUGGAAUUUACAGUACCUUGGACUGUCGGUGCGAUUCAUCUCUUCUGGCCGUCUGCACUCAGGCAAGCCGAUCACCUUCUUUUCCAGCAAGUCUUCUAACAUGGCAACCACACCAGAGUCGGGGAAUGGAUAAGUUUUCUCCUCAAGCUCCUUCAAAAUGCGUAUACGCAUCUCUUGAUCACGAAAAGCUUCAGCUUGAAUCGCCUUGCCUCGUGUAGGGAUUUUGAUGGGAGAUGUGUUGAUUGUCAUUGCUUCCUUGAUGGAUUUCCACGUAGCCUUCUCCACCUUUGUCUCAAGAAUUUUGUCGUUCUUGUAGUCGGCGAUCGGUUCCUUCUUCCCAUGAUGGGCGAUGCUCAAUUCUAUGUCAUGGGCGCGGGUGGCCAAUUCCUCGAAGGUCUGUGGUUUAAUGCCUUGAAGGAUGUAUUGCAAACCCCAUUGCAUGCCUUGGAUGCACAUCUCGAUUGAAGAGGUUUCCGAUAGCCUGUCUUUACAGUCGAGGCUUAGAGUGCGCCAUCUAUUGAUGUAGUCAAUGACUGGCUCGUCCUUCCACUGCUUUGUGCUCGUUAGCUCUAGCAUGCUCACAGUGCGGCGGGUGUUGUAGAAGCGGUUGAGGAAUUCCUUUUCCAACUGUUCCCAGCUGUUGAUGGACUCAGGCUCUAGGUCUGUGUACCACUCAAAGGCGUUUCCUUUUAGCGAGCGCACAAACUGCUUGGCGAGGUAGUCUCCCUCCGUCCCCGCGUUGUUGCAAGUUUCGACGAAAUGUGCAACGUGCUGCUUUGGGUUUCCUUUUCCAUCAAACUGCAUGAACUUUGGUGGUUGAUAUCCCCUCGGCAUCUUUAGGGCAUCAAUUUUCUUUGAAUAAGGCUUUGAGUACAACCCGGAGGUAUUUGAGCUCCAUUCGUACUGUGCCUUAACGGUGCUGGCAAUCAUCUCUUGCAACUGCUGGAUAGAAAGAGAUCACAUGAGUGCCGCUUCUUGGUCUGGCUUCGGCUUCACAUCGAUUCUCUCCACCGUAGGCUCAUCUUCUGGGUUAGGGUUCUCGCCGUCCUGUGGCUCCAGUCGACUGACAAGUGCAGCGAUUUGCAAGUCUUUUUCUUCCACAGUUCGGGUUAGCCUUGCGAUUGCUUCAUUCAUUUGAGCCAGUUGUUCUUCGAUGGAGGUAACGCUGAUGGUCAUGACUUAUGCAACCAAUAGACGUGACUUUCCUUUAGACAUCCAAGAUGCUGACGAAGAACGUCGUUGGUUGUUUUGGGAUGUCAUCUUGUGUGCCUCAGCAGCAUGCUUCGGUGCCCCCAGCGAGGUCAGGUUGAUGACAGACUCAUACUUUUGAUGCUCCCUUUGCUCUUUUAGCGGCACCAACUUUGAAGUGGCAUGUUGAUGAGUGGUUGUGGCGCCAAUGGAUUGUCCAUUUGCGGCAGAAGUGCUUAGGAUCCUUCCCUCAGUGAUUGCGAGAACGGCUUGUCCCUUGCUUGAUACCAUUAACUUUGAGGUGUGUUUGGAUUCCUUGAACGAAGAAAGAGAUGAGAGGUAAAGAUUGUCCCACCGGGCGUGCCAAUUUGUGAACACGGAAAAUUCCUGAAACGAAAGAGACAAGAACAACGUGCACAAACAAAUAUUUUGUGUUUGAUGAUUUUGGGUUACAAUCUCUUUUAACUUUGAUUCUCUGAUUCGAUCUCCGUAAGGUGUUGAUUUGUGAAUGUUUGAUUGAUCCAAGGGCCGUCGAGGCUUGAUCUUGGAUGAACUGUUGGAAGUUUCUUCAAGGGGCCGUGGGCUUGAUCUUUGAAGGUGGAUUUGAGCGAAUCUUCAAGGAGCCGUUGGGGCUUGAUCUUGAGGAUGAGUGUUUCUUCAAGGGCCGUUAAGGUUUGAUCUUGAAUAACGGUGAUGAACGGAUCUUCAAGGGCUUUUGGGCUUGAUCUUGAAGAACGGUUGGAUGUGUGGAUUUGUUGAUGUUUUGUUGAUCCAAGGGCCGUCGGGGCUUGAUCUUGGAUGAACGGAUGAUGAACGAUGGUGCUUUCUUCAAAGACCGUCGGGGCUUGAUCUUGAAUUGGUGGAUGGUUGAUCCAAGGGCCGUCGGGGCUUGAUCUUGGAAGAACAAAGAACGAAGAGAGCUUUCUUGAUUCUUCGGGAACCUUGAGAGCUUUAGAGUUUCAAAGCUUCAAAGAUUUGGGGGAUUCUCUUCCAAUUUGGGAGUAGAGAAAUGUAUUUGUGAAUUGGUUGAUGAUACCUUGAUGUAGAAGCCUAUUUAUAGGCUUUGAGAAUGAAUCACCAUCACAAAAUAUUUUUUUUCUUUUCCAAGCACCAUUGCCUAAUUUCCCACUUAAUACAAUUUUAAACUUGAAGUGGUAAUUUUAUGGCCUAAUUUUCCACUUAAUAUCAUUUUAAACUUGAUAUGUGCAUGCUUUGUCAUUGCCAAAAAUGAGAAGAAAACCUUGUUUUGAUCUUCAAUGGAUUGAAAUGUGCUUGCCUUGUCAUUGCCCAAAAUGAGAAGAAAACCUUGUUUUGAUCUUCAAUGGAUUGAAAUGUGCUUGCCUUGUCAUUGCCCAAAAUGAGAAGAAAAACUUGUGUAAUCCUCCAAGGGUAUUUCUUCUUAUUUUGUUGAGUCACACACCAUGUGUAUAAUUUGUAUGACACGUGGCAUAUGCCAUGUAUGCCCUGACACGUCAAAAUUUUAAUGCGUUGGUGAACAUUUACUUCACCGCAAUUUCGAUGUCUACAGCCGUGCUUUAAGAAUAAUUAGUUGUAAAGUAAAGUAGAUGAGCAUUUGGUUAACUGUAUUUUAUAAAUGUUGUGAGUAUGAAAAGCAGUGUAAAAGCGUUUGGUAAAUUUUAAAAAUGAUAUAAUUGUAUAAUGACAAAAUGGACCUAAUUGUAAGAGUGGGGGCGACGACAGUAGUCGCAAGGAUGGUAGUGGUGGCGGUGGUGACGGUAGCAACGGUGGAGGUAUGGUGGUGGUGCUAAUAGUGAUUUGAUGGUGAUGGUGCUAAUAGUGAGAUUUGAUGGUUGGGGUGCAUAUAUAACAAUGGUGUUAAGGGUGGUAGUGCCGAUGGUGGCAGUUGUGGUUGUGGUGACAGCGAUGACGAUUGAGGUUAUGGUGGUGGCGGAAAAAAUGGUGGUGACAAUAGUUGUAGUGGCGGUUGUUGUUAUGAUGGCAAUAAUGGCGGUUGCUUGCAGUUAUGGUGGUGAUGGUUGCAGUGGAUGGCCCUGCCCUUGGCUUUUUUGCUAACAAGGCAAUUUCAUGCCCUGCCCUUGGAGGUUGUGGUUAUGGUGACAAUGGUGGAGGUUAUGGUUGUAGUGGUGGUGGUGGCAACAACAGUGGUGAUAGGUGGUAGGAGUCACUUUAUUCUCUAAGGGAUACUAUGUGUGAAAGACUAAAUAUGUCAUUUUCAAAAAACUAAUAAAGGUAUUACAAUAAUUGAAAAUAUUCAUCAAAGACUAAAUUCUGCUUUUUAUUAAAACAGCUUUUAAAAGCAACAUACAGGUUGCUUUUAAAAGUUGCUGUCUGGAGAUCAUUGUUUUUAAAAUAAGCAUGAUAUUUUACUUUUACCAAACACUUUUUUACUACUUAACUUUAAAGUGAAUCAGUGUUUGGUGAAAAAAAACAAUACUAAACGGGGCCUUAAUGUGAUUUAAUAAUUAUCAAAGACAAUAAUGUAGGGCAAAAAUUAUAAUUUUGUAAAACAUUUGGGGGUAUACUUGCCAUUUUAAAAUUUCAUUAAUUGAGCACUUAUUAAUAUGCUUUGACAAAAAAAAUAUUUUUUUUUAAAAGCAUGGUAGAUGAUGCUUCUACUUUAUUUUAUUUUAUGUUUUUCUACUUUCAUAGACAUCAUUUUUUUUAAAGUAUUUUUUUUAUUUUACCGAACACAUUUAAUGUUCCAGAUUUUUUAAUAAGCUGUUUUUUUUAAAAGCACCAUAAUCCAAACCAACCAUAAUUCAAUCAAAAUGUAGCAUUAGUUUGUUACUAACUCGACUUUACCCAACGGGUUUUCUCUU